This 457-nucleotide ribosomal RNA is filed under the name uncultured prokaryote. RNAcentral's name for it is "bacterial SSU rRNA". It matches the Rfam family "Bacterial small subunit ribosomal RNA", at positions 342 to 791 of the family's 1533-position model. The record is from RNAcentral.
CGGGGGGCAGCAGUGGGGAAUCUUGCGCAAUGAGCGACAGCUUGACGCAGCAACGCCGCGUGGGGGAAGACGGCCUUCGGGUUGUAAACCCCUUUCAGUUGGGACGAAGCUCGGCCUGUGAACAGCAGGCUGGAGUGACGGUACCUUCAAAAGAAGCCCCGGCUAACUACGUGCCAGCAGCCGCGGUAAUACGUAGGGGGCAAGCGUUGUCCGGAAUCAUUGGGCGUAAAGAGUGUGUAGGCGGCCUUAUAAGUCUGUUGUGAAAGUCCAAGGCUCAACCUUGGAAUGCCGAUGGAUACUGUAAGGCUAGAGUCCGGAAGAGGCGGGUGGAACUCCUGGUGUAGCGGUGAAAUGCGCAGAUAUCAGGAAGAACACCAACGGCGAAGGCAGCCCGCUGGGACGGUACUGACGCUGAGACACGAAAGCGUGGGGAGCAAACAGGAUUAGAUACCCGAGU